RNAcentral lists this ribosomal RNA (254 nucleotides) under uncultured bacterium. RNAcentral describes it as "partial 16S ribosomal RNA". It matches the Rfam family "Bacterial small subunit ribosomal RNA", at positions 524 to 776 of the family's 1533-position model. The record is from RNAcentral.
UACGGGGGGGGCAAGCGUUGCUCGGAAUCACUGGGCGUAAAGCGCACGUAGGCGGACUUUUAAGUCGGUGGUGAAAUCCUGGAGCUCAACUCCAGAACUGCCUUCGAUACUGAGAGUCUCAGAGUCCGGGAGAGGUGAGUGGAACUCCGAGUGUAGAGGUGAAAUUCGUAGAUAUUCGGAAGAACACCAGUGGCGAAGGCGGCUCACUGGCCCGGUACUGACGCUGAGGUGCGAAAGCGUGGGGAGCAAACAGG